This 1389-nucleotide ribosomal RNA is filed under the name Staphylococcus aureus. RNAcentral's name for it is "partial 23S ribosomal RNA". It matches the Rfam family "Bacterial large subunit ribosomal RNA", at positions 852 to 2241 of the family's 2925-position model. The record is from RNAcentral. Lineage: Bacteria; Bacillati; Bacillota; Bacilli; Caryophanales; Staphylococcaceae.
GUUCUCUCCGAAAUAGCUUUAGGGCUAGCCUCAAGUGAUGAUUAUUGGAGGUAGAGCACUGUUUGGACGAGGGGCCCCUCUCGGGUUACCGAAUUCAGACAAACUCCGAAUGCCAAUUAAUUUAACUUGGGAGUCAGAACAUGGGUGAUAAGGUCCGUGUUCGAAAGGGAAACAGCCCAGACCACCAGCUAAGGUCCCAAAAUAUAUGUUAAGUGGAAAAGGAUGUGGCGUUGCCCAGACAACUAGGAUGUUGGCUUAGAAGCAGCCAUCAUUUAAAGAGUGCGUAAUAGCUCACUAGUCGAGUGACACUGCGCCGAAAAUGUACCGGGGCUAAACAUAUUACCGAAGCUGUGGAUUGUCCUUUGGACAAUGGUAGGAGAGCGUUCUAAGGGCGUUGAAGCAUGAUCGUAAGGACAUGUGGAGCGCUUAGAAGUGAGAAUGCCGGUGUGAGUAGCGAAAGACGGGUGAGAAUCCCGUCCACCGAUUGACUAAGGUUUCCAGAGGAAGGCUCGUCCGCUCUGGGUUAGUCGGGUCCUAAGCUGAGGCCGACAGGCGUAGGCGAUGGAUAACAGGUUGAUAUUCCUGUACCACCUAUAAUCGUUUUAAUCGAUGGGGGGACGCAGUAGGAUAGGCGAAGCGUGCGAUUGGAUUGCACGUCUAAGCAGUAAGGCUGAGUAUUAGGCAAAUCCGGUACUCGUUAAGGCUGAGCUGUGAUGGGGAGAAGACAUUGUGUCUUCGAGUCGUUGAUUUCACACUGCCGAGAAAAGCCUCUAGAUAGAAAAUAGGUGCCCGUACCGCAAACCGACACAGGUAGUCAAGAUGAGAAUUCUAAGGUGAGCGAGCGAACUCUCGUUAAGGAACUCGGCAAAAUGACCCCGUAACUUCGGGAGAAGGGGUGCUCUUUAGGGUUAACGCCCAGAAGAGCCGCAGUGAAUAGGCCCAAGCGACUGUUUAUCAAAAACACAGGUCUCUGCUAAACCGUAAGGUGAUGUAUAGGGGCUGACGCCUGCCCGGUGCUGGAAGGUUAAGAGGAGUGGUUAGCUUCUGCGAAGCUACGAAUCGAAGCCCCAGUAAACGGCGGCCGUAACUAUAACGGUCCUAAGGUAGCGAAAUUCCUUGUCGGGUAAGUUCCGACCCGCACGAAAGGCGUAACGAUUUGGGCACUGUCUCAACGAGAGACUCGGUGAAAUCAUAGUACCUGUGAAGAUGCAGGUUACCCGCGACAGGACGGAAAGACCCCGUGGAGCUUUACUGUAGCCUGAUAUUGAAAUUCGGCACAGCUUGUACAGGAUAGGUAGGAGCCUUUGAAACGUGAGCGCUAGCUUACGUGGAGGCGCUGGUGGGAUACUACCCUAGCUGUGUUGGCUUUCUAACCCGCACCACUUAUCG